RNAcentral lists this ribosomal RNA (253 nucleotides) under uncultured bacterium. RNAcentral describes it as "partial 16S ribosomal RNA". It matches the Rfam family "Bacterial small subunit ribosomal RNA", at positions 524 to 776 of the family's 1533-position model. The record is from RNAcentral.
UACGGAGGGGGCUAGCGUUGUCCGAAGUUAUUGGGCGUAAAGCGCACGCAGGCGGUCUCUUAAGUUUUGAGUGACAGGUAGUGGCUCAACCACAACAGGCCUCAGAAGACUGGGAGACUUGAGGACGAGAGAGGGAUGCGGAAUUCCAGGUGGAGCGGUGAAAUGCGUAGAUAUCGAGAGGAACACCUGCGGCGAAGGCGGCAGCCUGGUUGGCUCCUGACGCUCGGACACGACAGCAUGGGGAGCGAACGGG